RNAcentral lists this non-coding RNA (23 nucleotides) under Arabidopsis thaliana (thale cress). The record is from RNAcentral. Lineage: Eukaryota; Viridiplantae; Streptophyta; Magnoliopsida; Brassicales; Brassicaceae.
UAUGGCUGAAGAAUCGUCUAGUU